CUGAAUCCAUAGGUUAAUGAGGCGAACCGGGGGAACUGAAACAUCUAAGUACCCCGAGGAAAAGAAAUCAACCGAGAUUCCCCCAGUAGCGGCGAGCGAACGGGGAGGAGCCCAGAGCCUGAAUCAGUGUGUGUGUUAGUGGAAGCGUCUGGAAAGGCGCGCGAUACAGGGUGACAGCCCCGUACACAAAAAUGCACAUAUUGUGAGCUCGAUGAGUAGGGCGGGACACGUGGUAUCCUGUCUGAAUAUGGGGGGACCAUCCUCCAAGGCUAAAUACUCCUGACUGACCGAUAGUGAACCAGUACCGUGAGGGAAAGGCGAAAAGAACCCCGGCGAGGGGAGUGAAAAAGAACCUGAAACCGUGUACGUACAAGCAGUGGGAGCCUCUUAAUGGGGUGACUGCGUACCUUUUGUAUAAUGGGUCAGCGACUUAUAUUCUGUAGCAAGGUUAACCGAAUAGGGGAGCCGAAGGGAAACCGAGUCUUAACUGGGCGUUAAGUUGCAGGGUAUAGACCCGAAACCCGGUGAUCUAGCCAUGGGCAGGUUGAAGGUUGGGUAACACUAACUGGAGGACCGAACCGACUAAUGUUGAAAAAUUAGCGGAUGACUUGUGGCUGGGGGUGAAAGGCCAAUCAAACCGGGAGAUAGCUGGUUCUCCCCGAAAGCUAUUUAGGUAGCGCCUCGUGAAUUCAUCUCCGGGGGUAGAGCACUGUUUCGGCAAGGGGGUCAUCCCGACUUACCAACCCGAUGCAAACUGCGAAUACCGGAGAAUGUUAUCACGGGAGACACACGGCGGGUGCUAACGUCCGUCGUGAAGAGGGAAACAACCCAGACCGCCAGCUAAGGUCCCAAAGUCAUGGUUAAGUGGGAAACGAUGUGGGAAGGCCCAGACAGCCAGGAUGUUGGCUUAGAAGCAGCCAUCAUUUAAAGAAAGCGUAAUAGCUCACUGGUCGAGUCGGCCUGCGCGGAAGAUGUAACGGGGCUAAACCAUGCACCGAAGCUGCGGCAGCGACACUAUGUGUUGUUGGGUAGGGGAGCGUUCUGUAAGCCUGUGAAGGUGGCCUGUGAGGGUUGCUGGAGGUAUCAGAAGUGCGAAUGCUGACAUAAGUAACGAUAAAGCGGGUGAAAAGCCCGCUCGCCGGAAGACCAAGGGUUCCUGUCCAACGUUAAUCGGGGCAGGGUGAGUCGACCCCUAAGGCGAGGCCGAAAGGCGUAGUCGAUGGGAAACAGGUUAAUAUUCCUGUACUUGGUGUUACUGCGAAGGGGGGACGGAGAAGGCUAUGUUGGCCGGGCGACGGUUGUCCCGGUUUAAGCGUGUAGGCUGGUUUUCCAGGCAAAUCCGGAAAAUCAAGGCUGAGGCGUGAUGACGAGGCACUACGGUGCUGAAGCGACAAAUGCCCUGCUUCCAGGAAAAGCCUCUAAGCAUCAGGUAACAUCAAAUCGUACCCCAAACCGACACAGGUGGUCAGGUAGAGAAUACCAAGGCGCUUGAGAGAACUCGGGUGAAGGAACUAGGCAAAAUGGUGCCGUAACUUCGGGAGAAGGCACGCUGAUAUGUAGGUGAAGCGACUUGCUCGUGGAGCUGAAAUCAGUCGAAGAUACCAGCUGGCUGCAACUGUUUAUUAAAAACACAGCACUGUGCAAACACGAAAGUGGACGUAUACGGUGUGACGCCUGCCCGGUGCCGGAAGGUUAAUUGAUGGGGUUAGCGGUAACGCGAAGCUCUUGAUCGAAGCCCCGGUAAACGGCGGCCGUAACUAUAACGGUCCUAAGGUAGCGAAAUUCCUUGUCGGGUAAGUUCCGACCUGCACGAAUGGCGUAAUGAUGGCCAGGCUGUCUCCACCCGAGACUCAGUGAAAUUGAACUCGCUGUGAAGAUGCAGUGUACCCGCGGCAAGACGGAAAGACCCCGUGAACCUUUACUAUAGCUUGACACUGAACAUUGAGCCUUGAUGUGUAGGAUAGGUGGGAGGCUUUGAAGUGUGGACGCCAGUCUGCAUGGAGCCGACCUUGAAAUACCACCCUUUAAUGUUUGAUGUUCUAACGUGGGCCCCUUACCGGGGUUGCGGACAGUGUCUGGUGGGUAGUUUGACUGGGGCGGUCUCCUCCUAAAGAGUAACGGAGGAGCACGAAGGUUGGCUAAUCCUGGUCGGACAUCAGGAGGUUAGUGCAAUGGCAUAAGCCAGCUUGACUGCGAGCGUGACGGCGCGAGCAGGUGCGAAAGCAGGUCAUAGUGAUCCGGUGGUUCUGAAUGGAAGGGCCAUCGCUCAACGGAUAAAAGGUACUCCGGGGAUAACAGGCUGAUACCGCCCAAGAGUUCAUAUCGACGGCGGUGUUUGGCACCUCGAUGUCGGCUCAUCACAUCCUGGGGCUGAAGUAGGUCCCAAGGGUAUGGCUGUUCGCCAUUUAAAGUGGUACGCGAGCUGGGUUUAGAACGUCGUGAGACAGUUCGGUCCCUAUCUGCCGUGGGCGCUGGAGAACUGAGGGGG
This 2488-nucleotide ribosomal RNA is filed under the name Escherichia coli. RNAcentral describes it as "partial 23S ribosomal RNA". It matches the Rfam family "Bacterial large subunit ribosomal RNA", at positions 158 to 2670 of the family's 2925-position model. Lineage: Bacteria; Pseudomonadati; Pseudomonadota; Gammaproteobacteria; Enterobacterales; Enterobacteriaceae. The record is from RNAcentral.